Molecule: transfer RNA, 103 nt
Organism: Cryptococcus neoformans
Lineage: Eukaryota; Fungi; Basidiomycota; Tremellomycetes; Tremellales; Cryptococcaceae
Rfam family: tRNA
About the family: Transfer RNA (tRNA) molecules are approximately 80 nucleotides in length. Their secondary structure includes four short double-helical elements and three loops (D, anti-codon, and T loops).
Source: Rfam
GUCCGCGUAGCACAGUGGUAGUGCGCUUGACUACGAUCUUGUCCUUUGUAAAAGUGACUAGGACGACAUCAAGAGGUCGCGAUUUCGAAUAUCGCCGUGGAUU